Molecule: ribosomal RNA, 253 nt
Filed under: uncultured bacterium
Lineage: Bacteria
Description: partial 16S ribosomal RNA
Rfam family: Bacterial small subunit ribosomal RNA
Source: RNAcentral
UACAGAGGGGGCAAGCGUUGUUCGGAAUUACUGGGCGUAAAGGGCGCGUAGGCGGCCCGCUAAGUCGAACGUGAAAUCCCCAGGCUCAACCUGGGAACUGCGUCCGAUACUGGCAGGCUUGAAUCCGGGAGAGGGAUGUGGAAUUCCAGGUGUAGCGGUGAAAUGCGUAGAUAUCUGGAGGAACACCGGUGGCGAAGGCGGCAUCCUGGACCGGUAUUGACGCUGAGGAGCGAAAGCGUGGGGAGCAAACAGG